ACAAAGGUUUUAUUUUUAACAAAACCACCUUUAACAAUAAAAAACAAGUUAU
Lucilia cuprina (Australian sheep blowfly) is the source of this 52-nucleotide non-coding RNA. The record is from Rfam. NCBI's taxonomy places the organism in Eukaryota, Metazoa, Arthropoda, Insecta, Diptera, Calliphoridae.